Long non-coding RNA from Haliotis rubra (blacklip abalone), 248 nucleotides. RefSeq lists it as uncharacterized. The record is from RefSeq and is a predicted model, not a curated record. Lineage: Eukaryota; Metazoa; Mollusca; Gastropoda; Lepetellida; Haliotidae. The transcript is spliced from 3 exons.
AUCUCUGUUUCAACCAUCACCUCAGUGUACAUUCUCUUCCCACAGAGGUUACUUGCAUAUCUUCCUGCGAACCUCUGUUCUACUACGGCCCUUUCAUGGAGCGAGUGUUCAGGAUUUGUGAUUGGUUGCAAUCACAUUUAGUUGUGCAAUCAGCCGCGUUGUUUCAAAAGUGAUCAUUCGCACGGCCUCGGUAAUUUUCGUAUGCGUCUGAAAAAACUAUAGAACCUCUUCCCCUGCGCGAUGCGCAA